GAGGAGUGCAGGGCGUGUGAAAAACUCCUCUGUGCGUCUCCUCUCCAUUCGUCCUCAUUCCAUAUCUUUUUCCAAUCUAAUGUGCCUCUCCGAGGGGCUCAGAAGGACCAGGAGACAGACAGCAUUGGCAGGUGAUUGGCAUCUCUAGGCUCUGGUGUUUGCUCUCCACAAGGUGGCACGGGGAAGGCAAAUCAAGUAGCAGGUGUUCAGGAGCACCAGUAUGGCUGUGGAGAGCUUCCCAGAGCUUCUGCAGAAACUGCGGGAGGUACAUGAGCAUGACCUAGAAGGAUGGCAGGAGAAAGUACUGGAACUGACCAAUAAAAAGAAUAUUGAUACAAAGCGUAUGGAAGAACUUUACAACAGGAACCAACAGCUAAGAGAACAACAACGGAUGCUCACUGAGAACAUCAAACAACUGGAGAACAGGUUGCGAGCUGGCUUGUGCGACAGGUGUACAGUCACUCAGGAUGUGGCUAAAAAAAGACAGCAAGAGUAUGAAAAUUCUCAGCUCCAGAGUUUACAGCAUAUCUCACUACUGGUGACUGAGAUGAGUGCACUGAAGAAAGAAAAUGACAGACUGAGAGAGGAGCUGAAGAGCCUGAGGGAACGAACAAAUCGGCAGAAUGGUCAUUCAGAGGACUCAAUCACUCCUGAAGUCAAUUUGUCACUGGAGACUGCAGUGGCUGCGGUUACUCUAAUGACCUCAGGGCUGAAGUCCAGCCAGCCACCACCAGGGGACGCCACCGUACCUGCAGCGACUGGCAAGAGUGAAACGGAAAACAGUCCAAAUGACAGCCUGGAAAAAGCCUCUGAGCACAAACGUAUACAAGGUUGGGGCAGAGCAAUUUCAUUUGAGUCUAAUAAGUCCACAUUGUCCAUCUCAAGUCCAAGGAGAUGGGGCACAGAGCAUGGACCAGAAAGGAGAGCUGCCAGUGUAGACUCGUUGGAGCAAGGGCGUUCCCCUUUGUCUUCUCUUCCCUCUCCUUUUAAUUUACUGAAGAGCAAUCCUAUUUUUUCCUCUAUCAUCUCUGAGGAAUGUAGCAACCGGCAACAAAUCCACACCCCUGUUCCCUUCCGACCACUUCCAAUGAAGAAUGGUCACCUACCCUGGCCGCUCUCAGAAUCCACUGAUUGGGUAACAGUGUCAGUGCCCAGCUCUGGCAUUAGAAGUGGGAUGGUAGUUCACCCAAGCCAGACCCAAAUUCCAAGCUCAAAUAUACUGCGAUUCCCUAAACUGGUCUCACAAAUCAAUGGCCUCCAAUCUCACACACAUGGCCCCAGCCCUAUUAGUCUGCGGGCCUGGUCAGAGCACCCUCCACGCAGAAGUAGAGAAAAGAUAUUGGCAGACGUGGAAGAUAUUACAAAUCCGCACCAGUGGAGGUCCUCAGCAACGCAGCUAGAGAGGAUUUUUGGAGAGAACCUGAGAGAGGAUGAAGAGGAGGUACCAUUGGACCUGUCAGAGUCAGGAUGCUCAAAAAGCAAAGAGAAAGAAAAAACACAGUCACAGAGUGAUGCAUCUUCAUCUUCCUCACUGUCUGCUCCAUUUUCAUCAUUGUCCCAGUGCACAUCCAAUCCUCAGAGUGACCUGCAGACAGGAGACAAUAAUACACAGGAGGAUGAAGCACAGCAAAAAUUUGAGGAACAAGAAGAGGUAAAAGAAGAUGAGACUUCUCCAGCACUUGAAAUGCCUGUCAACUCAGAAAACAUGCAAAUUCCUUCACUGACCAUUUCCCUCCAACCAGUUGUGGUUAUGGAGACACUUAAACCUGGAGGACAGACAGUGAAGGUCACUGAUCCAGGGACAAGAUCAGUGGAGCCAGAGCAGAAGGAAAAUAACAACCAUGAAACAAGCAGAAAAAGAGCAGGGCAAGAUACUGAUUCUCUUUCUCAGCGUUCACUAAAAGAGAAGAAAAUAAGGUCAAGCAGAUGAACUCAAGGAAAAAAAACAUGCAGAGCCAGAUCAAGCAUGAAGGUCUCUAUUUUUUUUACAGGCAAUGGAUGCAACCAGUAUCAUGCUGUUACUGUGGUUAUUCGGCCGGCCAUUUUGUCUUCAUCUUCCAUCACCAGCCACUAAAUCUCUGGUGUUUGCUUGAGUUAACUGAAACACUUAACCUUAUCGGCACCUCUGUCAACAUAAAUCUAAUUUAACAAACAGAAUGCAUACAGCAGUACACCAGAAUUCAAUUCUGUCUAAUAUCAGUGUAUGCAAGUAAGCUAGUUUCCUGUUUUUUUGUUGUUUUUUUUUGUUUGUUUUUUGCUUGGUUUUUUUUUUGUUUGUUUUGUUUUUCAUACUUGAGAAGAACUUUGUAUUACAUAUAAGUCUUCAAAUAUUUCGCUCUGAAAUACAAGACAUUUGAUACUUGGGUGGAUUUUACACCAAUCUUUGUCUGCACCAAAACAGGAACCAAAUAAUUGUUCUUGUCCUUACUGACAAGUGGCUGUUACUGAACAAUUGACCAGAUAGUCAUUAAUUUUCACCAGUUCACAUUCUUUUUCCUUUUUUGUUCAUGAAACAUUAAACAUAUACAUGCACUUGU
Molecule: RNA transcript, 2537 nt
Organism: Xyrauchen texanus (razorback sucker)
Lineage: Eukaryota; Metazoa; Chordata; Actinopteri; Cypriniformes; Catostomidae
Exons: 15
Source: RefSeq, a predicted model, not a curated record